RNAcentral lists this ribosomal RNA (301 nucleotides) under uncultured bacterium. RNAcentral's name for it is "partial 16S ribosomal RNA". It matches the Rfam family "Bacterial small subunit ribosomal RNA", at positions 509 to 807 of the family's 1533-position model. The record is from RNAcentral.
CAGCCGCCGCGGGAAUACGAGGGGGGCAAGCGUUGUUCGGAAUUAUUGGGCGUAAAGGGUGCGUAGGCGGUUUGGCAAGUCUUGUGUGAAAUCUUCGGGCUCAACCCGAAGCCUGCACGAGAAACUACCGGGCUUGAGUAUUGGAGAGGUGAGUGGAAUUUCCGGUGUAGCGGUGAAAUGCGUAGAUAUCGGAAGGAACACCUGUGGCGAAAGCGGCUCACUGGACAAUAACUGACGCUGAUGCACGAAAGCUAGGGGAGCAAACAGGAUUAGAUACCCCCGUAGUCCCUGUCUCUUAUAC